UACGUAGGGGGCAAGCGUUGUCCGGAAUCAUUGGGCGUAAAGCGCGUGUAGGUGGCCAAGUAGGUCCGCUGUGAAAACUUGAGGCUCAACCUCAAGCUGUCGGUGGAAACCCCUUGGCUAGAGUCCGGAAGAGGAGAGUGGAAUUCCUGGUGUAGCGGUGAAAUGCGCAGAUAUCAGGAAGAACACCAAUGGCGAAGGCAGCUCUCUGGGACGGUACUGACACUGAGACGCGAAAGCGUGGGGAGCGAACAGG
RNAcentral lists this ribosomal RNA (253 nucleotides) under uncultured bacterium. RNAcentral describes it as "partial 16S ribosomal RNA". It matches the Rfam family "Bacterial small subunit ribosomal RNA", at positions 524 to 776 of the family's 1533-position model. The record is from RNAcentral.